AAGUCGUAACAAGGUUUCCGUAGGUGAACCUGCGGAAGGAUCAUUAACACGAAUUAUUAUUAUUCUAAAUCCAAUAUCAAAAACCAAACGUGAACUUUUUCCCUCCCUAUAUACAAUAGCAAUAGCAUUGCUACUGUAUGUAGGCUAACCUCAUAUUUAAUCUAUUUAACACUAUAAACUUCAACUAGGUUUUAAUCAUGUCUUAAUGCAUUAAAACAUCUAAACUAAAAAAGACAAGGUUAUUCGAAAGAGUAAACUUUAACUUUUUUCGAUUUACGAAAAAUUUAAAAGAACAACUCUUAACAAUGGAUAUCUUGGUUCUC
This 323-nucleotide unclassified non-coding RNA is filed under the name fungal sp. RNAcentral's name for it is "partial internal transcribed spacer region". The stretch from base 1 to 46 matches the Rfam family "Eukaryotic small subunit ribosomal RNA", at positions 1786 to 1831 of the family's 1831-position model. The record is from RNAcentral. Lineage: Eukaryota; Fungi.